RNAcentral lists this ribosomal RNA (253 nucleotides) under uncultured bacterium. RNAcentral's name for it is "partial 16S ribosomal RNA". It matches the Rfam family "Bacterial small subunit ribosomal RNA", at positions 524 to 776 of the family's 1533-position model. The record is from RNAcentral.
UACGAGUGCCUCAAGCGUUAUCCGGAAUCAUUGGGCGUAAAGGGUGUGUAGGUGGUUGUAUUAGUCUUCUGUUAAAUUCUUCGGCUUAACCGGGGGCAUGCAGGGGAAACGGUACAACUCGAGGAUGCGAGGGGUCUGCGGAACUCAUAGUGUAGCGGUGAAAUGCGUUGAUAUUAUGGGGAACACCAAAAGCGAAGGCAGCAGACUGGAGCACUCCUGACACUGAAACAAGAAAGCGUGGGUCGCGAAUGGG